Non-coding RNA from Oryctolagus cuniculus (rabbit), 2326 nucleotides. The record is from RefSeq and is a predicted model, not a curated record. NCBI's taxonomy places the organism in Eukaryota, Metazoa, Chordata, Mammalia, Lagomorpha, Leporidae.
AGCUCCUGUUUUCCUGCUCAGAGACAGAAUGUACUGCCACCAGCUCCCAAGCCUGCCUGAUUUCAGGGAUUUUUGAGCAGGCACUAACCCUGGGGCAAGGCUGGGGGGAGCUUGAUCUUGGCCCUGGUCCUGGCUCUGGGCUCUCCUCCUCCCCGCAGCCAGGGGCUUGGUGGGCGGCGACCUGGAGCCAGGUGCCUUUCCCCCGUGUUAACUGCUCGCAGCUCCUACCCGGCAGGCUCCAGCAGGGAAUUUUCCACUGCCUGGUUGGAUUUAGCUCAUUUAGCGCGGCUGCCUUGACUUUUCGCAGUGAGGGGCGCUGGAAGGUGGGGGCACCCUCCCUGCGUUGGGGUCUUGGGGGCGGCAUGGGUCUGUGCGCGUUUUCACCUUGGCCCUGAGAGCAACUCCGCACCGAUCCUGCAGCCCUGGGGCGUGGGAGGCGCUGCAGCCCAGAGAGGAGAGCAGAGCCCUGCUGCGUGCGCUGCGGGGGGGUGCAGAAGCGGGUCAGCCCCCUCCCCUGAGCCUCCUCUCAGGAAGUCUGGAGAUGCCCUGUGUGGGUGAGGGGCCCCUCCCUCCCGGAACCGCCACCGCCCCCCAGCCCUGGGCCGACGAUGCCCUCUGGGUUCUGUUUUCAUUCCAGGCUGUGGAUCCGGCCGUGGGAAGCAGGUGCAGGGGCCCACAGGGGAGAGAGCUGCUGGGUCUGGGGCUUUGAUGAGACCCCCCCCAAACACCAAGGGACGCCCAGUGCCCUCCAAAAGGCCCACCAUAUCUGGACUGAGAACAGCACCCUGGCGCUGGCUCGCUCCCUGAGCCGGCACCUAAAGCUGUCUGGAGCCUGCAGAAGUGGGGAGGAGGAACCACAAACAAACACUCCUCGUUUGACCUUGAGUUCCAGUCCUGUCCAGCACGGAGUCAGCAGGCACGCACCUGUCCUGUGAAGCUUGGGAGAGGAUACGCAGAGGCAGCCACUGACAAAACUGUCAACAAAUAAAUAAUCCCAACAAACUUGCUUCUUCCCCCGCAUUGCCUAAGGUCUGUACUGCACCAUUAGAAAUCAUCCUUAAUAUCCAUCCAACGGGUCGCCUGCUAUUUAUCUUACAAAUCCCCCCCUAACCAUCUGCCAUCCCCACUACCACUGCCCCUGUGGGCCCUUGGCAUCUAUAUUAAUCAGUUUUUCUGCUGCUGUAACAAAACCUCAUAGAGAAAAGUGGUUCCUAUAGCUCUCAGUUCUGGAGGUUGAAAGUCCAAACAGCAUGGUACAGGCCCUGGUGAGAGUCCCAUGGCUAAUGAGGACAGGAAGCCAAACUGCUGAAUGGGGCCCAGCUUGCUGUUGGUUGUUUUUUAAGAUUUAUUUAUUAAUUUGAAAGGCAGGGUUAGAGAGAGACAGAGAGAGGGAGAGACAUAGAUAGAGGUCUCCGCUGGUUCACUCCCCAAGUGGCCACAACAGCUGGAGUUGGGCUGAUCUGAAGCCAGGAGCCAGGUGCUUCUUCUAGGUCUCCCAUGUGGGUGGUAGGGGGCCAAGCACUUGGGCCAUCUUCUGCUGCUUUGCCAGGCACAUUAGCAGGCAGCUGGAUGGGAAACGGAGCAAUCAGGACUCCAACCGGUGCUCAUAUGGGAUCCUUGCUGUGCCACAAUGCCAGCCCCUCCAAUGUUUUUGUUUGCACCCAAUUCCCUGUAUUAAAUCCCUUUCUGCUCGAAACACUCUGAGUGAUUUGUGUGUUCCUGACUAGCAAAGAUAUAAUGGCUGUGUUUGAAGAUACACUGUUUUUUUCUCAAACAAACAAACAAACAAAACAGAGCAGUAACAUGAGAGAAACAAUUAGGGUACAGGAGAGCAAGUCCAGGAGAUCCAACAUUCAAAUUAUAGGAGUUCUAGAAACAGAACUCAGAGGAAAGGAAUACGUCAAAGAAAUAGUUCAAGAAACAGUCCCAGAAUGAAAGGACAUACAUUUGCACAUGGAAAGGGCCCACCUAGUGCACCACACAUAGAAUAAAAAUAGAACCAGCCGGAGCUGGCUAAUCCUCCGCCUUGCAGCGCCGGCACACCGGGUUCUAGUCCUGGUCAGGGUGCUGGAUUCUGUCCCGGUUGCCCCUCUUCCAGGCCAGCUCUCUGCUGUGGCCCGGGAGUGCAGUGGAGGACGGCCCAAGUGCUUGGGCCCUGCACCCCAUGGGAGACCAGGAGAAGCACCUGGCUCCUGCCAUCGGAUCAGUGCCGGUGCGUCAGCCGCAGUGGCCAUUGGAGGGUGAACCAACGGCAAAGGAAGACCUUUCUCUCUGUCUCUCUCUCUCACUGUCCACUCUGCCUGUAAAAAAAAAAAAAAAAAUAGAA